ACACGACUACAUUAGAUACCCCUGUAGUCCCAGCCCUAAACGAUGCGCGUUAGGUGUAUCGGUGACCACGAGUCACCGAGGUGCCGAAGGGAAACCGUGAAACGUGCCGCCUGGGAGUACGUCCGCAAGGAUGAAACUUAAAGGAAUUGGCGGGGGAGCACCGCAACGGGAGGAGCGUGCGGUUUAAUUGGAUUCAACACCGUAAAACUCACCAGGGAAGACUGUUACAUGAAGGCCGAGAUGAAGACUCUGCCAGAUUUUCAG
RNAcentral lists this ribosomal RNA (264 nucleotides) under uncultured archaeon. RNAcentral's name for it is "partial 16S ribosomal RNA". It matches the Rfam family "Archaeal small subunit ribosomal RNA", at positions 717 to 982 of the family's 1478-position model. The record is from RNAcentral.